This is a long non-coding RNA of Homo sapiens (human), 3881 nucleotides long. RefSeq lists it as uncharacterized. The record is from RefSeq and is a predicted model, not a curated record. The transcript is spliced from 3 exons. Lineage: Eukaryota; Metazoa; Chordata; Mammalia; Primates; Hominidae.
GGGUGAACAGGAAAGAAGGGUUUGAAUGAAAGAGUCUGAGGCAGGAGAAAGUGGAGACAGCAGCAAGAGGACUGAGGAAAGAAAGGAGAAAGGAAGGAACCUGUGCAUCGCGAGGCAGAGGAUUUCAUAAAGUAAGAGAUUCAAGAUAAAAUGCUCAACACCCUCCAAGCCUCAGAGUCCAAGAGAGGAGUUGUAUUUUUCCCAGCGGGCACCUGAAGAAAUGGAUAUUAUUAUCCCCAUACUACAGAUGAGAAAAGUGAGACUUACUGAGAUGAAGCAGCCUGCACACUGUCACAUGAAGGAGUUGUAGAGACCUGUAUUAGUCCAUUUUCAUACUGCUAUAAUGAACUGCCUGAGAUGGGGGUAAUUUAUAAAGGAAAGAGGUUUAAUUGACUCACAGUUCAGCAUGGCUGGGGAGGCCUCAGGAAACUUACAAUCAUAGUGGAAGGUGAAGGAGAAGCAAGGCACCUUCUGGCAGGAAGGAAAUGUGCCGAGUGAAGGGGGAAAGAGCUCCUUGUAAGGCCAUCAGAUCUCGUGAGAACUCUAUCACGAGAACAGCAUGGGGGAAACCGCCCCGAUGAUUCAAUUACCUCCACCUGGCCUCUUCUUUGACACGUGGGGAUUAUGGGGAUUAUGAAGAUUACAAUUCAAGGUGAGAUUUGAUUUAUCAAGACCUAAACCUAGCUAGUCUGAUACCAGAACUGGUGUUCUUAACCCCUGAUACCAAGCAGGAGAGAGAGAGAGAGCAUUCAAUCUGACUUGGGGCCCUGCGUUUAAUUGUCUAUCCAUUUUCUUUGUCUCCUGUUUGAAAGUUUCCAUUCCCUGGGAUAUCAGAAGUCCUGUUAUCCAAGUCCUCUGCAGACAAAAAUUAAAUUGGUUGUCAGGUUUCCGGGGUUGGGGCACCAGCAGAACACAGGUUUUGGGGGAGAGAGGACAGCAUAAGGCAGGGAUGGAGAUGGAGGAGGGGUUUCCCAUUCAAGUAUGGCCACAGUGACAGGGGCUGAAGGGCGUGACGGUGUCAUGCACGUGCAGGGGACACAGUGCCAUCCCUUCUUCCUAGCCAUAUGUGCUGCUCUGUCUUUUUUAUAGUGCCACAUAUGGCACUUCCUUAAUGAAAUUUCUUAUAAUAAUUUAUCUGACCUGUAUCAUUCUGUUAGCUUUAACAAAAGAAAUUCUGACAGGUUUUGAUAUUAAAUCUAAAAAUAUGUUUUCAACUCACUGAGGAGCCAUAAAGCAGGCUGAAAUCAUACUAAUGAUAAUGGACAAUCUGCUUUCUACCAUCAAGUUCUGAUUAUUUACAUGUAGCAAACCAUCCAGAGAUAAUGUGAGCCUUGAGUCUCCUUUCAAUUUUUACUAAUCUUCCCGAAUUUACCAAAUGGGGGUAGUGGAGGCCUGAAAGAAGGCUCCCCAGGUCACCUUGGCAUGCCCUUCUUGAUGCCUCAGUGUGUCACAUGAAGCCAUCCCAGUGCAGCUGCUCAUGAAUCUCUGGGCUGACCCUCCUGCAGUGGGGCUGCAGGGCUGUUUCAGUUAAAAAGCUCAUGGUUCAGGAAAGGGAUUUGCAAUCUGAUUUUCACAGAUGUUUCUUUUCAGGCAUCUUCCCUGAAACAAUCCUUGUGGCGUUCAGAUGGGCAGAGUGAACAGCACUGCCCUUGAACAUGGGCAGCUCCGGUAGAGCUGUGCUCUGGCCCCCUUCGUGCUAUACCUCUUCCUGCAGGGCAUUCAGUCUGCAGGACUGAGGGACAACAUCCACUCAGAGCCCAUGCCCCUCUAGACUUCAGGUGCCUGGGACCCCAUAUUCCUGCCCAAACAGCCCUGAACCCAACUUCACUCCCAGGUCUCUUCCUGGGUCUGACUUCCUGAGAGUCCAUCCUGCUGACAGCCUGCACACUCCCUAGUUCUGAAGGGGUUUGGGAGGUUGCUGUCACAACAGCCUGUGGAUGAAGUUUGGACAUGUGGCCAGAGGGGUCUAUCUGCAUGUUAACAAGGUGCUUGCAGUGUGGGACAGAGCCAGGGGUGGCGGGAAGUGGGAUGCAGCCUCAGGCUCCAGGAUCCCCUCUCUCAUGGGUCACGCUCACUGAGGAACUCUGAGGGGUUCUGAAUUUCAACUUGGCCUUUCAGGUCAUUAUGAAGGUUCACUUGCCAAGGCAGGAGGAUGAAACAUAUAUUCCUCAGCAGUUUGUCAACUUGACUUACAUCUGUUACACAUUUAGACGUAUGUCACGUGGGCCUCCAUUUGUACUCUUGCUCCAGCCCAUGACAAUAUGAGGAUGGGCCUGAUAGGGUGGGGACCGAGCUUGUGGACCAAACAGAUGGAGUAUGGGGCAGGUGGACACAAGGCUUCUUCUUGUCCCACUCUCAAGGUGAUGGGUUCAUGCAUUUCAUUGAAGAAUAGGGGAAGAGGAGAACUUGGGUUCUCUCCUUGGAUUUGUUAUCAAGUGACUAAAUAUCUUGGGUAGUUCUUUUCAUGGUCUCAGUUUCCUGGUCGGUUAAAGAGAGAAGAGGUAGAUUAGCAUUUCCCAGGGCAUGUUCCUAGACAACUUGCUCUGCCAGACGACCUAUGAAACAAGGAUUCCAUGAUCAAUUAAAUUUAGGAAACAAAUUCUUUCUUCUUUGAGAAUCAUAAUGCAAAUUUGCAUAAUAAAGCCUCCCAUAAGUCCUGUAGCUAAAAAAAAUGAUUAAUUUUAAUUACCAUAGUUUCAUACACCAAAGAUUUAUUGAGUUCUUACUGUUUGCUAGGGACUAUGCUAUGUGUUUUACAUGUAAAUUUUAUUUAACUAUCACACCAGACCUAUCAUAUAGAUAUUGUUAGUAUUCCAUUUUACAGAUGUUGAAACCAGGGCUUGGAGAAGCUAGGAAACUUGCCCAGAGUCAGGAAUGAAGCUUGCUAUCUCUUUUGUCCAGUAUAGGUCAUUAAGCCAUCUUAUUUGUACUUUUUACCUUUGGUGGUUAUCACUACAAGCUCAGAAUGAUCUCCUAUGUACAUCCUAUUUAUUAGAAACUAUUCCUCAUUAUAAACAUUUUUCUAAACUGAAAAAAAGAUUUUGAAUAAUAUUAAAUAUACAAAUGACCAAAAAGCAUAUAAAAAUAUUCAAUGUCAUUAGUCAUCAGGGAAAUGCAAACUAAAACCACAGUACCAUUCCAUACCCACUAGGAUGGCUAUAAUCAAAGAGCCAGAAGGGUAAGCAUUGGUGAGGAUGUGGAGAAACUGGAGUCAUACACUGAAGGUGGGAAUGUGAAAUGGUGCAGUCACUUUGGAAAACAUCCUUGCAGUUCCUCAAAAAGUUAAACGGAGUUACUAUAUGAACCAGAAAUUUCAUCCUAGCUAUAUACACAAGAGAAAUGAAAAUACUGUGCCCAUAUAAAAACUUAUAUAUGAAUGUUUAUAGCAGCAUUAUUCAUAAUAGUCCAAAGGUAAAAAAACCCAAAUGUCCAUCAACUGAUGAAUAGAUAAAACAAAAGAUGAUAUGUCCAUACGAUGGAAUAUUAUUCAGCCAUAAAAAGGAAUGAAGUAGUGAUACAUGCUACAACAUGGGUGAGCCUUGAAAAUAUUAUGCUAAGUGGAGGAAGCCAGAUACAAAAGAACAUAUAUCAGAUUAUUCCAUUUAAAUGAAAGAUCCAGAAUAGGUAAAUCAAUAGAGGCUGAAGAUUAGUGGUUGUUUAGGGCUGAGGAGGACGGGUAGAUUGGGUGGGGAGUGAUAGCUAAUGAAUGUGGCAGUAGGGGGACUCUUUUUGUGGUAAUAAAACUGUUCUAAAAUUGAUUGGGGUGAUGAUUUUAUUAUUCUGUGAAUAUACUAAAAACCAUUGUUUUUUACAAUUUUAAUGGGUGAACUGUAUGGUAUGUGAAUUAUAUCUCAAUAAAGCUACACCCUUACCUCCCAAAA